GUCUGAAGAGAAGAAUGCAAUAUUCUUUGGACUUUACACAUGGGAAAUGACCAGCGCUUAGCAGGCCUGUCUAACAGUGGAGCCUCCUGGAGAAAAAAACGCUGCUCUUCCGUUUUACCCUUCCCAGAUGAUCCAGAGCCGGGUUUCAGUCUAAUGGACGCUUCAUAAUCCCCCUCUACAGUGUCCGAGCAGGAUGACGAAGGGCGACUUCCUCGCCGAUGCCCAUUAGCAGCAGGGGGGGUGAAAUCAGUAGGCAACGAAAGCACCUGGGAACCUGCUGGCUUGAUGGCUACCUGAGGCUGUGAGGAGCUGCCGAUGCGUUGACAAGGUCCAGUCCCGGCGCUGGUGGUGGACUCAAGCCUGGAGAAGGUGACCCCCUCUGCCUGGGGGGCUGGAUAGUGCGCAGCAUCAGAUCCCAAACUGGACGCCUCGUCUUUGCCUCUGGGUGCGCACCCACAGGGAUCUCUGUGCUGCGGGCCACCGUGCCCUGCCGGGUCCCCCCAACCUGGGUGGAAGGGAGGCGGAAGGUACCGCAGCAGUCCUGGCUGGUGGCGACUCAUCUCACUCCCAAAGGAGAAAUUCAAGGUCUUGGCCGAUUGUCCAAGACAUAGCGCAAAAAUAAGAAAAGUUCAAUGCUCUAGCAACGGCAAACGCUGCUGGCCUGAUUCUGACCUCCGAUCUGUGUACAUUAGCAAUAACCCCGAUGAAAUAAAUGGAGUAAUGGAGGUGUAA
This is a long non-coding RNA of Mauremys reevesii (Reeves's turtle), 732 nucleotides long. RefSeq lists it as uncharacterized. The record is from RefSeq and is a predicted model, not a curated record. NCBI's taxonomy places the organism in Eukaryota, Metazoa, Chordata, Testudines, Geoemydidae. The transcript is spliced from 3 exons.